Molecule: unclassified non-coding RNA, 618 nt
Filed under: Hevea brasiliensis (rubber tree)
Lineage: Eukaryota; Viridiplantae; Streptophyta; Magnoliopsida; Malpighiales; Euphorbiaceae
Source: RNAcentral
GUUUCCUUGUUUCAGAGAUAUUUUUUAGUCCGAUCAGCUAGGUCUUCAUUUCCAUCAGAGCAUAUAGAUACAACAUACAAGUUAUAUUUGUUUUGUUUUACUGCCUCACAAAUUUGUCUUCUUCUAAAAUGGGUGCAAUUUCACAUCCUCAUUAUCCUUCUCUCAUUGAUGUUCUGCCUUUUGGCUUGCUUAAUUGUCAAUAGGUUCUUAUUUUAGAACAUACCAAACAACUGUUCUGCAACAAUUUCAAGUCCUUGAAGCCUUUUGCCAUCUCAUUCUUAAUUCCCAGAUGUUCAGGCAAGAGCUUUAGCAAUUAGACGCCAUCUGGUAAUAUUCUAGCGGAAAUGGUUUGGGCUUUGAGCUAAGGCUUCCAAGUAUAUGCAAACUUUACAUGGAAUUGUUUACAGUUCUUGUGCUAAGCUUCUGAUUACAUAGCAUCAAAUUCCUUUCAGUACCUGAUCUUGACAGACAUCUGGCAAAGAUUUUAUUAUCUCAGAUGCCGAAAAUGAUAUGAAAAUUUUUCUGGCAAGCUUAGAAGCAAUUUGGAAUCCCUAAUCUAAUUGCACUCUAUUUAACUUUUAAUUUUUAUCCUGGAAUCAUCACAGCUAAAAUUGAUAU